Molecule: ribosomal RNA, 2553 nt
Filed under: Staphylococcus aureus
Lineage: Bacteria; Bacillati; Bacillota; Bacilli; Caryophanales; Staphylococcaceae
Description: partial 23S ribosomal RNA
Rfam family: Bacterial large subunit ribosomal RNA
Source: RNAcentral
GAAAGAUGAAUCAAAGAAGGUAAUAAUCCUGUAGUCGAAAAUGUUGUCUCUCUUGAGUGGAUCCUGAGUACGACGGAGCACGUGAAAUUCCGUCGGAAUCUGGGAGGACCAUCUCCUAAGGCUAAAUACUCUCUAGUGACCGAUAGUGAACCAGUACCGUGAGGGAAAGGUGAAAAGCACCCCGGAAGGGGAGUGAAAUAGAACCUGAAACCGUGUGCUUACAAGUAGUCAGAGCCCGUUAAUGGGUGAUGGCGUGCCUUUUGUAGAAUGAACCGGCGAGUUACGAUUUGAUGCAAGGUUAAGCAGUAAAUGUGGAGCCGUAGCGAAAGCGAGUCUGAAUAGGGCGUUUAGUAUUUGGUCGUAGACCCGAAACCAGGUGAUCUACCCUUGGUCAGGUUGAAGUUCAGGUAACACUGAAUGGAGGACCGAACCGACUUACGUUGAAAAGUGAGCGGAUGAACUGAGGGUAGCGGAGAAAUUCCAAUCGAACCUGGAGAUAGCUGGUUCUCUCCGAAAUAGCUUUAGGGCUAGCCUCAAGUGAUGAUUAUUGGAGGUAGAGCACUGUUUGGACGAGGGGCCCCUCUCGGGUUACCGAAUUCAGACAAACUCCGAAUGCCAAUUAAUUUAACUUGGGAGUCAGAACAUGGGUGAUAAGGUCCGUGUUCGAAAGGGAAACAGCCCAGACCACCAGCUAAGGUCCCAAAAUAUAUGUUAAGUGGAAAAGGAUGUGGCGUUGCCCAGACAACUAGGAUGUUGGCUUAGAAGCAGCCAUCAUUUAAAGAGUGCGUAAUAGCUCACUAGUCGAGUGACACUGCGCCGAAAAUGUACCGGGGCUAAACAUAUUACCGAAGCUGUGGAUUGUCCUUUGGACAAUGGUAGGAGAGCGUUCUAAGGGCGUUGAAGCAUGAUCGUAAGGACAUGUGGAGCGCUUAGAAGUGAGAAUGCCGGUGUGAGUAGCGAAAGACGGGUGAGAAUCCCGUCCACCGAUUGACUAAGGUUUCCAGAGGAAGGCUCGUCCGCUCUGGGUUAGUCGGGUCCUAAGCUGAGGCCGACAGGCGUAGGCGAUGGAUAACAGGUUGAUAUUCCUGUACCACCUAUAAUCGUUUUAAUCGAUGGGGGGACGCAGUAGGAUAGGCGAAGCGUGCGAUUGGAUUGCACGUCUAAGCAGUAAGGCUGAGUAUUAGGCAAAUCCGGUACUCAUUAAGGCUGAGCUGUGAUGGGGAGAAGACAUUGUGUCUUCGAGUCGUUGAUUUCACACUGCCGAGAAAAGCCUCUAGAUAGAAAAUAGGUGCCCGUACCGCAAACCGACACAGGUAGUCAAGAUGAGAAUUCUAAGGUGAGCGAGCGAACUCUCGUUAAGGAACUCGGCAAAAUGACCCCGUAACUUCGGGAGAAGGGGUGCUCUUUAGGGUUAACGCCCAGAAGAGCCGCAGUGAAUAGGCCCAAGCGACUGUUUAUCAAAAACACAGGUCUCUGCUAAACCGUAAGGUGAUGUAUAGGGGCUGACGCCUGCCCGGUGCUGGAAGGUUAAGAGGAGUGGUUAGCUUCUGCGAAGCUACGAAUCGAAGCCCCAGUAAACGGCGGCCGUAACUAUAACGGUCCUAAGGUAGCGAAAUUCCUUGUCGGGUAAGUUCCGACCCGCACGAAAGGCGUAACGAUUUGGGCACUGUCUCAACGAGAGACUCGGUGAAAUCAUAGUACCUGUGAAGAUGCAGGUUACCCGCGACAGGACGGAAAGACCCCGUGGAGCUUUACUGUAGCCUGAUAUUGAAAUUCGGCACAGCUUGUACAGGAUAGGUAGGAGCCUUUGAAACGUGAGCGCUAGCUUACGUGGAGGCGCUGGUGGGAUACUACCCUAGCUGUGUUGGCUUUCUAACCCGCACCACUUAUCGUGGUGGGAGACAGUGUCAGGCGGGCAGUUUGACUGGGGCGGUCGCCUCCUAAAAGGUAACGGAGGCGCUCAAAGGUUCCCUCAGAAUGGUUGGAAAUCAUUCAUAGAGUGUAAAGGCAUAAGGGAGCUUGACUGCGAGACCUACAAGUCGAGCAGGGUCGAAAGACGGACUUAGUGAUCCGGUGGUUCCGCAUGGAAGGGCCAUCGCUCAACGGAUAAAAGCUACCCCGGGGAUAACAGGCUUAUCUCCCCCAAGAGUUCACAUCGACGGGGAGGUUUGGCACCUCGAUGUCGGCUCAUCGCAUCCUGGGGCUGUAGUCGGUCCCAAGGGUUGGGCUGUUCGCCCAUUAAAGCGGUACGCGAGCUGGGUUCAGAACGUCGUGAGACAGUUCGGUCCCUAUCCGUCGUGGGCGUAGGAAAUUUGAGAGGAGCUGUCCUUAGUACGAGAGGACCGGGAUGGACAUACCUCUGGUGUACCAGUUGUCGUGCCAACGGCAUAGCUGGGUAGCUAUGUGUGGACGGGAUAAGUGCUGAAAGCAUCUAAGCAUGAAGCCCCCCUCAAGAUGAGAUUUCCCAACUUCGGUUAUAAGAUCCCUCAAAGAUGAUGAGGUUAAUAGGUUCGAGGUGGAAGCAUGGUGACAUGUGGAGCUGACGAAUACUAA